AUUGAACGCUGGCGGCAGGCCUAACACAUGCAAGUCGAGCGGAUGAAGGGAGCUUGCUCCUGGAUUCAGCGGCGGACGGGUGAGUAAUGCCUAUGAAUCUGCCUGGUAGUGGUGGAUAACGUCCGGAAACGGGCGCUAAUACCGCAUACGUCCUGAGGGAGAAAGUGGGGGAUCUUCGGACCUCACGCUAUCAGAUGAGCCUAGGUCGGAUUAGCUAGUUGGUGGGGUAAAGGCCUACCAAGGCGACGAUCCGUAACUGGUCUGAGAGGAUGAUCAGUCACACUGGAGCUGAGACACGGUCCAGACUCCUACGGGAGGCAGCAGUGGGGAAUAUUGGACAAUGGGCGAAAGCCUGAUCCAGCCAUGCCGCGUGUGUGAAGAAGGUCUUCGGAUUGUAAAGCACUUUAAGUUGGGAGGAAGGGCAGUAAGUUAAUACCUUGCUGUUUUGACGGUACCAACAGAAUAAGCACCGGCUAACUUCGUG
This 484-nucleotide ribosomal RNA is filed under the name uncultured bacterium. RNAcentral describes it as "partial 16S ribosomal RNA". It matches the Rfam family "Bacterial small subunit ribosomal RNA", at positions 30 to 507 of the family's 1533-position model. The record is from RNAcentral.